This 70-nucleotide transfer RNA is filed under the name Pedicellaster magister. RNAcentral's name for it is "tRNA-Pro". It matches the Rfam family "tRNA". Rfam says of the family: Transfer RNA (tRNA) molecules are approximately 80 nucleotides in length. Their secondary structure includes four short double-helical elements and three loops (D, anti-codon, and T loops). The record is from RNAcentral. Lineage: Eukaryota; Metazoa; Echinodermata; Asteroidea; Forcipulatida; Pedicellasteridae.
CAAAAGAUAGUUUAGUGGAGAAUAAUAACUUUGGGAGUUAUAGGGGUAAGUUCGAUCCUUAUUCUUUUGA